UGGGGAAUAUUGGGCAAUGGGCGCAAGCCUGACCCAGCAACGCCGCGUGAAGGAAGAAGGCUUUCGGGUUGUAAACUUCUUUUAAGAGGGAAGAGCAGAAGACGGUACCUCUUGAAUAAGCCACGGCUAACUACGUGCCAGCAGCCGCGGUAAUACGUAGGUGGCAAGCGUUGUCCGGAUUUAUUGGGUGUAAAGGGCGUGCAGCCGGGAAGACAAGUCAGAUGUGAAAUCCCGCGGCUCAACCGCGGAACUGCAUUUGAAACUGUUUUUCUUGAGUACCGGAGAGGUCAUUCGGAAUUCCUUGUGUAGCGGUGAAAUGCGUAGAUAUAAGGAAGAACACCAGUGGCGAAGGCGGAUGACUGGACGGCAACUGACGGUGAGGCGCGAAAGCGUGGGGAGCAAACAGGAUUAGAUACC
Molecule: ribosomal RNA, 417 nt
Filed under: uncultured bacterium
Lineage: Bacteria
Description: bacterial SSU rRNA
Rfam family: Bacterial small subunit ribosomal RNA
Source: RNAcentral